CUGGGGCUGGAGCAGGUCCCAAGGGUAUGGCUGUUCGCCAUUUAAAGAGGUACGUGAGCUGGGUUCAGAACGUCGUGAGACAGGUUGGUCCCUAUCUGCCGUGGGUGUAGGAUAUUUGAGAGGAUUUGUCCCUAGUACGAGAGGACCGGGAUGAACAUACCUCUGGUGGACCAGUCGUGACGCCAGUCGCGCAGCUGGGUAGCUAUGUAUGGACAAGAUAACCGCUGAAAGCAUCUAAGCGGGAAACUUACCUCAAAACCAGAUAUCCCUGAGAGCCGUGAUAGACUAUCACGUCGAUAGGCCGGGUGUGGAAGGUCCGCGAGGACUGCAGCUUACCGGUACUAAUUGCUCGAUAGGCUUGAUUAA
RNAcentral lists this ribosomal RNA (366 nucleotides) under Hyphomonadaceae bacterium. RNAcentral's name for it is "partial 23S ribosomal RNA". It matches the Rfam family "Bacterial large subunit ribosomal RNA", at positions 2547 to 2925 of the family's 2925-position model. Lineage: Bacteria; Pseudomonadati; Pseudomonadota; Alphaproteobacteria; Hyphomonadales; Hyphomonadaceae. The record is from RNAcentral.